UUCUUUUUCAUCUCAUUACCCAUUUGACCAUCUAUCAAUCUACAUUUCUUCUUCUCGCCGGAAACCACCGCCCUAAUUGUAAGCCACCACUUCUCUUCCUUCUCCUUGUCCUCUUCACUCUACCUUGUUGUUCCUCUUUUCUCACUUUGUUUGUCACGAGAGUUUAGAAAAUUCUAGCACAUCUAAACUUCGAUAAAUGCGAUUUCAAUUGGAAACCCUAACUUUGCUGUGCCAAAUUCCCUCUCAGAAGCAUCAGCGGCGAGAAGAAAUGAAGCAUUACCGCUGGUCGUAACACAUCCCCUACAGUCAUACAGUUGUUUCUCCAAUUCCAACAUGAUGGCCUGGCUGGUUUCUUCAACUUAGGUCGGCGGUUUGAGUUUUGUGUGUAAUAUUUCAAUCUCUCGAAGAAGGGAUGGUGAUCAUAUCCUUGUAAAGAUUCACUGCUGGAUGCAUUUUUCAGUUGGUAAUAGUACCACCAGAGCCAUGGAGGAGUUGCUAUGGGUGCUGCACUACUUUUUCCAGCUAGGUCAUAAUUUCACUAAUUGCAGCACAGCUGAUAAUUUUAGCCACAACAAUAUUGUUGGAAAAGGGAUGGAUUGGCUGAUGGAUCUCUUGUGGUAGUUUCUUACUGUUGUACUGAAAUUGUUGCUGGUGGCUUCUAGAUUGUUGAUUUCCAAGUUAUGUUUCGCAGGUAUGUUGAAUUUUUUCUCUUUUUGUGGACAUGAUAUUGAUUUUUCUUAGUCUGACACUCUGCGUAGUCGCUAGAAAGCGUAGCCUUUUUUUCCCGUUUGCCCGUUUGCAGAUACACUGAAAUUUUGAGGGGUGCUGGAAGAUAAUUGGAAGUAGAUAAAGAGAAUAACAUGUAUUUUUAGAUUUAUAUUUUUAAAUGAGUACACUUUUCUCAUAUUAAUAAUUUGUCAUGUCGUUCGACCAUGACAUUUUUAGGGGAACUAUAUAUGUAAUGCCUUUAAUUAUUUAUAGAUAUAUUUUUUUUGAGUUAA
Molecule: long non-coding RNA, 1001 nt
Organism: Spinacia oleracea (spinach)
Lineage: Eukaryota; Viridiplantae; Streptophyta; Magnoliopsida; Caryophyllales; Amaranthaceae
Exons: 4
Source: RefSeq, a predicted model, not a curated record